Long non-coding RNA from Mastomys coucha (southern multimammate mouse), 497 nucleotides. RefSeq lists it as uncharacterized. The record is from RefSeq and is a predicted model, not a curated record. The transcript has 2 exons. NCBI's taxonomy places the organism in Eukaryota, Metazoa, Chordata, Mammalia, Rodentia, Muridae.
ACUUAUAGUGAAGACAUGGAAUAUUCACCAAACUCCAGAGAGAUGACUCAUCUUGACCCUUGGAACUCAUCGAAGUUUUCCCAAUAACACAUGAAGGUGUGUUCCACAACCCAGGAAUCUUCUUGUUCCUCAUCUCGAUCACCAGCUCUUAUUCCUUCUGGGACACCUACCCAAACCUAUUCGACUAUCCUUCAGCAUCUGGUCCUGCAUUGGUCCAAGCCAUUGGACCUCUGCUUGGAGGCUACCAUCUGGGGAGCUAAGACAAAAGCUCUCUGAAGACUGUCAGUUCCUCUUUGAAAAAGCCGCCUGGAAGUUCACACUGAGGUAAGACAAGGCCCACAGCCUGAAGACCUUCCGACUUACCUGGGACUUUGGCACCUGACUUUUUCUGCAGUGUUUAUGUUAUACAAAUAUCAUGUAACCUAGAGAUUUGGUUUCGCUUUGGUGUAACUAUAAAAAUCCUGGCCUUCUAAGUAAAAUUGAAGCUUUGAUUGGAC